Molecule: long non-coding RNA, 376 nt
Organism: Suricata suricatta (meerkat)
Lineage: Eukaryota; Metazoa; Chordata; Mammalia; Carnivora; Herpestidae
Exons: 3
Source: RefSeq, a predicted model, not a curated record
UGCCUCCACUCUCUGUGCUCCCUGCCCUACCCUACUCUCACCCCCUCUCUCAGAAACCCGCGUCGACUGACCAGCCGGAAGGGACAUUCAAUAUGGGAAGAUAUGGUGAGAAAGGCAUUCAUAACCACUACAGUUCCAGGUUUCCAACCAUUGUCUCAGAUCCCAUCUUGUGCUCAACUAGCCAUCAGCUUCAAAGGAACACUUGGAGACAACUCAUGUUUUCAAGACUCAACCACUCUAAUAAUAGGAUGUUGGAAAGGACCAUGGCAGGUAUACGGUGGCAAAGUAUCCCAGGUGAAUUGGCAACUUAUACAAAGACAUAUUAGGAGAAAACAAGAAAAAUUAUGAGAACUACUGGGAAGUCAGCAAGACUGAA